RNAcentral lists this ribosomal RNA (538 nucleotides) under uncultured bacterium. RNAcentral describes it as "bacterial SSU rRNA". It matches the Rfam family "Bacterial small subunit ribosomal RNA", at positions 94 to 630 of the family's 1533-position model. The record is from RNAcentral.
ACCGGCGCACGGGUGCGUAACGCGUAUGCAAUCUACCUUUUACAGAGGGAUAGCCCAGAGAAAUUUGGAUUAAUACCUCAUAGUAUUAUAGAAUGGCAUCAUUUUAUAAUUAAAGUCACAACGGUAAAAGAUGAGCAUGCGUCCCAUUAGCUAGUUGGUAUGGUAACGGCAUACCAAGGCUACGAUGGGUAGGGGUCCUGAGAGGGAGAUCCCCCACACUGGUACUGAGACACGGACCAGACUCCUACGGGAGGCAGCAGUGAGGAAUAUUGGUCAAUGGGCGCAAGCCUGAACCAGCCAUGCCGCGUGCAGGAUGACGGUCCUAUGGAUUGUAAACUGCUUUUGUACAGGAAGAAACAGUUCUACGUGUAGAACCUUGACGGUACUGUAAGAAUAAGGAUCGGCUAACUCCGUGCCAGCAGCCGCGGUAAUACGGAGGAUCCAAGCGUUAUCCGGAAUCAUUGGGUUUAAAGGGUCCGUAGGCGGUUUAGUAAGUCAGUGGUGAAAGCCCAUCGCUCAACGGUGGAACGGCCAUUGA